This 26176-nucleotide long non-coding RNA is filed under the name Homo sapiens (human). RNAcentral describes it as "non-protein coding lnc-TSPAN9-1:7". Lineage: Eukaryota; Metazoa; Chordata; Mammalia; Primates; Hominidae. The record is from RNAcentral.
ACGACCUGCAGAUCCCAACACUCCAGGAUGGUGCAGGACAUCAGUCUCAAGGCAUCUUCCUUCAUGUUCUCUGGGGGAGAGACUGACUGUGGGAAUCAGCCUUGGUUGCAAAGGGAAGCUGAGAGAAGAGAGCAGCGCAGGGCACGGACAUGCCAGCCCAGUUACUGGAGAUAUCUGCCGCUGGAGACGGGUUCAGAGCCUAGUUUAAUAUCCCGAAGCAGGAAAGCUGAGAAUGUGCUGGAAAUGCUUGUUGAGGCCGACGUGUCAGGCAGCCCAUCAGUGCAGGAUGGAGCCUCGGUUGCAGAGAACUGCAGGGAGGUGGUGUGGAAGCUCAUUGGCUGUAAGAACUGCUCCGCUGCGACAGUGCUGCUGGAGGUGGUGGUGAACAGAUUUCUGAUGCCAAGCUGAUCAUCGUCUCAGCACCAGCAAAGACAUGCUAUUCCCGUCCCUGACGAGCAUUUCCUUCUUGAGAAAGUGAUUUUGAGGGGCUGCAGAUGUACUUGGAGGAAGGUUUGGGCCGGGACAGAUGACGUGCCCAUGUGGGAGCUGGACGGCCCCUCUCUGGGUAGCUCCCUGGGAACUCCCAUGUCCGCCUCCCGCUGCCUCCUGAUCCAAGGUGGAUGCACUUCAUUUGAGGCCUGGUCUUUCGUCCUUCCCUCUCCUCUUCGGGGACCACUUUGUCUAGUGCUAGACUCAUUGUGCUUCCCCCUUGGGGCUUCCUUCAGCCCUCAGCCGAUUCAAGACUUCAAAAGGAAGUUGGACAUGGAGAGGAAAAAAGAAAUGAAACCAGGAAGGAACCGCCAAGAAGCACACAACGCGUUUAUGCUGCCUUAACCACACGCUUGACUCUAAAUGGGUUUAAAAAUUCUUACUUGUGUUAGCCCAAGAAAGUUUCUGCAGCCGUCUUUUUGGUUUAAACAAUCAAAUACUCAAUAAUUCUGGGGCUGGUGGGCCAGGAUAUGGGUUACUCAGAUCUUCUGCUUCACCCCAUGCUCGGUCCCUGAGCCAGUUCUGUCAUUGGUUCUUUCAGACCAGGGCAGGAAAAGUCAAGAAAGCAAAAGCGGAUUCUAGGCUGUGGGGUUUGCUGUUUGCUAGCCCCCUGGCAGAGAUGCCUGUCCUUGCAGUCCUGAACUGGUGGCCAAGUGUGCAUGCAUGCACGUGCAGGUGUGUGCAUGUGCAGGUGUGCAUGCGUGUAUGUGCGCACACACAUUCAUGCUUGUACAUGUUUGUGUACACGCACACUUUUUUCUGCUUUCAAUUUCAAGCUGUUGCCUCCCUGAUGUGUCUGUUUAGUGACUUGAGCCAGAAAGAUUCCCGGUUCUAUGUGGGAUGAGAAUGAACGCAGGCAGGUCUCCACAGAAGUGAGUAAAGUAGAGCUGAGAAGAAGGACAUUGUCUCAUGCCAGCCUGUCCAAUAGCCACUUUGCCCCAGCCCUGCCUCAAGCCCCAGAGAGAUGACAAGGCUCUCUCUGUUUGUCGACUCCUUGAAGCUCAGAAAGGUAGCCCAUACUCUCACCCAGCCGGUGCCCUUCAGCCUGGAACCUUUGGAUGGAGGAUUGGACCUUGUGACCUUCAAGUUCCCUUCCGAACCAAAUAUGCUCUAACCCAGGUAUGCUGUUAUUUUCUUAUAUAAUGGGAGCAAGGAGGCACUGGGAUGCCCAAGGCGUCUAGGGUCUCACCAUGACACCCCUGGUCUCCUGCCCUAGUGGUCUGGCUGGGUCCUGCACAGAGCCCUCUCUUGUAAUCAGCCAGAUCUCCAAGAGCCACGGCUCCACACAGACCUACCCAUAGAUGGACGGCAGGGUGUGCCCUGCACACAUUCAUCCCUGCCCCGCUCAGCUUCCUGCCCCUCUGCCUUCGUUCAGCCUUGGUCCCCAGGAGAAGCAGACUCUUGGAGGCAAUUCCAACAGGCUGCAAUUCCCAGUCCAGCUCCGGCCCUUACUUCCUGCACGUCUCAGCCUGGCCUCCUCAUCUGUAAAGCAGGGGUGAAUACUACCUCUUUGGAUGCAGUGGAGUGUGGUGGGUCAUGGUGGAUCAGAGCAUGGGCUUGGAGCUAGACCACAUGCCACUCGCCAGCAAUGUGUGUCGCACAUUUGAAAACUUCACAUUUUCCUGCUGCCUCCACAUCCCCAGACACAGGUGGUGUGCACCUGCCUGGGUGACCCAGUGCACUAUUGUCACGGGGCCGGCCGUGCCACAAGUUCCCCUGACUGUGACCUAGUAACGUUCAAAUGCACUGGUGGAAUUCCCUCGUGUCUGUUUUUGGUGUGCUUCACUCUGAUCCCCAAUAAAAAAGCCUCACCCGCUCUCUGCCCCCCACCUGCUUGGUGGAGCCUGGGCCCUGGGUGCUCCUCCCAUGCGACCCCUCCCAGCGGAGUGUGCAGUGACUCUGUGGGGCCUGUGAGUCUGGGAACACCUGUUGCCCUGCGCCUCUCCUGUGCCUCCUCUUGCGGCUGCCCCCGAUUGACCAUUACCUAAAAUAAUCACACACACAGUGUGGUUCUGGACAAAUCACUUCCCUGCCCCUGCCCUCUGUUUCCUCCCCUGUCAAUGCACAUAGUAAGAAUAAGCUGCUCUUUGGGGCACAGAGAGGACAGAGUUGAUGUGUGAGUGUUGAGAAUGGUGCUUGGCAGAGAGUUCAGAUUAUUGGGACUUUGCAGGUUGCUAUAGUAAGGACAGAGGUAGGUGGCUCUCGGUGAACAGUGGCCAUUUGUGUUCUAAUCAGGCCCCAGGAGGAAUGCAGGGGGCUGUUUCCCUGUGCUGCAGGGACUACUGGCCUUUAAGGGCUCCUCAGAACCAAGGGUCUGGGUCAGAAGAAAGGUUCCAGGUGAGGGCUUCUGCCUUCCCUCUUGUGCUGUCCAGAGGUGAGUCCUGUCCUCCCUCAACAAGAUGACCUGGUGGAAGGAAGGAGGCAGCGGAGACCACGCGGCUUGGCUGCCUGCCUGUGGGCAGACCUGCAGGUGUGAGGGGCGGAAGCUUGGCCUGAAGCCUGAGGCCAAGCUGAAGGCCAAGCCUGCUGGGGGGCACAGAGCCAGACAGGACACAGUGGGCUCGCCAACACUGCAGAGGAAAGGGGUUCUCUCUCUGGGCCCAACAGCACUGGUCCCGCAAGCCUCAGGCCCCCUAAGGGCUGGUCGGUGCUGCACAGAGAGAGUGUCUCCACCCCAGGCCAUGGUACGUGCCCGGUUCACUGUCCCACCACGUGCCUCCAUCCAGCUACGUUGGUCAGGUCUAGGAUGUGCCACUCGGCUCUCGGGGACCUCAGCUGAGCGACCGCAUUGCCCAGGAUGCUGGAAAUCCUCACGAUAGGCCCCAGGCCGGAGGGCUGGGUGGGGGUAUGGCUGGCCCCCUGGCACACCAGUCCCCAGUGCUGGAAAAGAGCUCAAAGCCCAUGCCCUGGGGCCUUCACCCUGCAGGCCUAUCACAUCCACUCUCCCAGCGCCCUGGCUGUAGGCUCUCCCUCUCUUCCAAACGGGAGGGCCGUCCUGCAGGCCCGUACACAGGCGCUUCAUAUCCACAGCUGGAAACUAGGUCGCUGCUGGUGAGAGGCAGCAGGGGACGGUCCACAGGCUUUCGCAGCACCCUUCCUCUGCCACUGGUUCCCUGGGUCACUGUGCAAAAGCAGAGGCUGCAAAGUCUGUGGUGGAACCCGGGAAGCCGGAGAAGGAACACGGGGGCCUUUGAGGCUUCUUCCCGCUGCCCGAUUCCUUUCAGGCUCGGCCUGAUUUCUCUUUGAGACUUGGGCUGGUUCUGCCCCUCACACUUCCUUGCUGGUCUGGACAUUUUUCAGCCUCAUCUGUCCUCUUCUUCUCUUCCCACACACUAGGCUUUGACCCUUGGGAGGGGCUGUGGGGUGAAGAGAGGCCCCAGGCAGCAGGGAGCUUGCCUCUGCCAAGAGGGCAUGGAAGUUAGGGAGUUGGGGUCUGCCUGAGUCCUGAGCUGGGCUCCAGGCCUCUGGUCCUGCACAUUCCACCCCAGCCUCCCCUCCUGACACUCUGGGCAGCUGCGGAUCUUCCCAGCUUCCCAGGAAGAAGGCUGUCAAGGAGGCUCUGGUGCCUGUAACACCAGCCAUGCACCAGGCGAUCUCCAAACAUUCAGAUCAGUGGGAUCUGAUCAGGCCUCUAGAUCUAACCACCAGGUGGGCAUGUUAGACAACAUCAUGGGGGUGUCAUCAGAAAAUCCAGACUGGGAGAAACGUGACAGGACAAAUGACGUGGUUCUUCAGCACAUACAUUGCAAGAGGAGAAAAAAGGAGAGAGAGAGAUUGAUGGUGGAACUUAGAGGCUACAGGAGACUUAGGAGACCAAUUAACUGAUUUUAACACAUGGAUGUAAUUUAGAUUCCGACCCCAAAAACUUUUUUAAAAAGAACAGUUUAUGGGUCAGUUGGGGAGAGCUGAAACUGCCUGGUUAUUUCGUGAUAUUAAGGAAUCAACUGUUAAUAGUUUUUAGGUAUGAUAAUGGUAAUGUUACUAUGUUUUCUAAAAGAGGAUCCUUAAGUUUUAGAGGUACAUACUGAAAUAUUUGUUUUUUAAAUGUUUUAAAAAGUUUAUUGCUCUUUCAGAAAUAUGCUGACAUAUUGACAGAUGAUUUGAUAUCUGGGAUUGCUUCAAAACCAUCCUGGGGUGGGGAGAGGGAGGGAUGGAGGGGAGGGUGCAGGCCAGCGAAUGGAGAUGGACUAUGAAGUGGUAACUGUUGAGCCCUGGGUGAUGGGAAGAUGGAGGUUCAUUAAAGCACUUUUUAAAAUUUUUGCAUAUCUUUGAAAAUUGCCAUGAUAAAAUCUGGAAGGAGCAGGAAGAGAAACAGGAAGAGAAAGGAUGAAAGAGAGGGAGAGGAGGACGAGGGGAAAAAAGAGGAGGAGGAGGAGGAGGAGGAAGAGAAGGCAGAGGAAAAGGGAGAAGGAGGAGAGGAAGGAGAAGGGAAGGGAGAAGGGGAAGGAGAGGAGGGAGAAGAAGGAAGGGGCAGAGGAGGAGGAGAGGGAGGAGGAGAGACAGAUGAGAGGGAGCUACUACUGCAGCUGCCGAGGCUGGCCUCCUGGCCUGUGUCCUAAGAUCCUGGAGAACACCAGGCUGGCGAGCAGCCACCCCCUCUCUGGCUGCCCCAUGGCCUCAGCCGCUUCCCACUCCAGGACUGGAGCCCUUCUUCCUUGCUGGGGACCUCACUGGGAAAUAGGGUGGUAGUGCAGGGUCCCCCUCCCUGCAGAGCAUGGAGAGGCAGCCCUUCUGCUCCUAGGAGAUGGUGCUGUUGCCCAGGAAGCCGGUCACCAUGACGAGAGUACCCGCUCAGAUGAGGAUGCAGGCGGAGGCGGUGAAGGUGCUGGAGGCCAGGAUGCUGAGGUAGCUGCUCCUCUCCACCAGGGUCCAGAUGCCCAUGGCCAGGACAGCUGCCCCCCUGACCUGCAGGAGACCACCAGGUUGGAGCAGGGGGUGGCGGGGGCCUCAGGAGCUGCCAUUCCUUGAGUGCCCGCUGGGUACCAGGCACUUCUCGUGCAUUGUCUUAUUCAAUUUAGGCCUCCUAAGAGCCUGUGAGAACAGUGUGGUGGCCUAGCUUUACAGAUGAGGAAACGGAGGCUGAGAGAGGUUUGCAGGCUUGUCCAAGGUCACACAUGUAAGCGAGCUGCAGAUUUUGAAUCUGGGUCUGACUUCUGAUUCUGUGCAUCUUACUAUGGUUCCUACUGCAUAUGAGGCGGGGAGAAAUGACUUCAGUUUUGGGGAUGACUAAUAUACCUGAGUCCCUUCGCCUCCCCUCCCCUCAGAGCGCUCCCUCCCUCUGUCCACGUUUCCCUGAUGGAUGUGGAGGUGCCAUUUUGAGCACCUCCCCUUGUUCAAUCCUUAUAUUUGCCCAUUGGGGAAGCACGGCUGGGCCCCUUAUCCCUCCCUGUUCUACAGAGGAAGGAACUGAGGCCCAUGGAGGAGAGGUAAAUGGCCCGAGUUAGGGGCAGGGCCAGGACCAGGACUCAGAGCCCAGGGCCUGCUUGCUCAGUCUCGCUGCCUCCAUGAUGGAAGGGCCACUGUGCUGGACAAGUUGGAGCUCCCUGGGACCACAGGAGGAGGGAGGAGAGCCUUCUUUGCUGUCUGACUCCCUUUCAGUCCUGAGAGGGGGCAGGGACGGGACACUGCUGAUUUGCAGGUCUGGGGGAUGCCUUCUUGGAAAUAGAGUACCUGGGAAAUGUAGCUGGGGUGGUGGGGCUUGACUGUUCUUUCCUGCCAUGAAGCUGAGGAGCCUUUUAGUGACUGUUAUCCUCAGCAGAGCAUAGUGGGUGGGUGCAAGUGUCCUCAAGGUGCCAGAUGGGGGCUGUUUGGAGUGUUUUCCCAGGAUUUGGGUCCUCUGGGACCUCUGACCAUCUCUGUCAUUUGCUCCUGGGAAGGUGGACUUCUGUCUCCCAGUCUCUCUGCCCGCCAUUUAGGGACGGGUCCAUUUCCUCUGAUGGUCAGUAGAUGCUUCCUCAAGGGGUCUUGGGUGUAGCCAAAGCUAGAGAAGCCCUCCCGGGCUCUGUUCACAUCCCCUGAUGCUUUUCCCUGCAAGUUGUCUCCCGUCUGCCCCAGGAAGACUCUCUGUAUAACCUAACCUGUCACUUCCCAGUUCUCUGUUCCGGGGAGUCGCAGACCUUGGCUGAGUAAAUGGAAGGUGGUUCUUAGCAAUGAACAGGCACCUACAUUACUCAACUCGCAAGUAUUUUACCAUUUUGCCAUUUUCUCUUCUGAGCUUUGCAACAGCUCUGUGAGGAUGGGGCCGGGCAGGAGGGGCCAGGCUAUCCCUGUCUUGCAGAUAAGAAAAUUGAGGCUUGGAGAGAAUAAGAAUGUGCCCAAGAUGACACCAUCAGAGGGUCAGAAUUGAGGUGCAAACCCAGUUAUUUGAGGGCAAAUCCAGGCCUCUGUCCUUGGAUCCCCCAGAGUAGGCUGGGCCUGCUUCUCUCUUACUUCUACGUUUUUAAUAGACAUGAUUUCUUCAAAGUGCCAUUUUAUCUCCAUAGGUACCUCCAGACACCACCCAGGCUGCAGCAAAUGGAAUGGGAGAGGCUAACACACCAUAAUUUUUCAAUUCCAUGAUGCCCAUUUUUUCUCACAUUUUAACGUCUCUAAAAUUGGGGCACAUCUUAUGAUUGAUGGCAUCUUACAAUUACACUUGGCAGUACUUUUUCUUGGUGAUACAAAAAAACAACAGUGUAUCUUACAACUGAUAGCUUAGAUUCAGUGAAAUCCUAGAAUACAACAGGUUUGAAAAUUCUCUGUGGGUGAGUGUUAUCUGUGGCCCAUACAACCUCCAUGACCAGUGAGGGAUUUCCUGAGUCUGGGUUCCAGCAAAAUAUCCUGGACAGAAUUCUUUUUGACCCUCUACAGCAUGCCUGGAAGGCUUGGGCACGGGUCCCAACUGUGUAUAACUAGCUCCGUGACCUAAAGAGAGUCCCUGAACCUCUCCAGACCUCAGUUUCUUCACCUCUCGAAGAAGGGAGUGAGUUAUAUUAGACCAGUAGUUCCCAGCCUGUAACUACCAAGGACCGUUUGAUUAUUUUUUCCCAUGGGUUUUAUGUUUUGAGGGCUUUUGCCUAUCAACGUGCAUUAAUUAAGUAAUAAUUCACUUCUCAUUUUUUAUUAAUCAAAGGCACAUAUAGUGCCAGGAAGAGAUUCUGAACAGCAUGAGACAGUCAACUUGACCACACUGAGUUGAUCUAACUCCAGCAAAAGGCCAAGAAUCUUGGCUUUUCAUGAGAAUAGCCUCUUUAUAGAAAUAUGCACAUUAUCUGUGAUCUGUUAGGCUUCUUAAGCCUGUCCCUCAAACCAGAGUGGGGGCUGAGCAUAUGGCUCUGGGGCCACCAAAAGACAUAUGUUUGGACUGGUCUGGGGACCAUCUGUUGGGAGACACAGAACCUCACUGAAAGCCUGAUGAAAAGCUUUGCAUCCUUUGCCCAGAGAAAUGGUCAUUCACACAAAACAAUACCCUUGGGGCCAGGGGCUGAAGUCUAUUUUGCACUACCUAAUGACCUGUGGCCUUUAUGGUCUGUAGGCCUCCUGCACCCCUAUGGUGCCCUAAGACCUGGCUGUACAAUCACCUGGGGAGCUUUGAAAAACCCAGGCCCCCCUGCAGGCCCAUCCGUGUCUGUGGGAGUGGGACCCAGCCAUGAAUUUUUUAUGAAGUUCCUGGGUGAUCCCAGCUGAGAACCAUUGCCCAGAAUUAACGAAUGGGGUCCAGGUGUCCUGCCCUCCUCUUCCCAGUUGGUGACGCUGUGCUGAGCCUCGCAGAACACAGCGGCUUCCCGGUCGCUCAGUCCCAGGAGGGGCCCCUUGAAGCUCCAGGUUCCCUCCCCUGGGAGGAGUUGCCUGGAGGGCUACUGAGAUUUGUUCAGGACCUGAACCCCAUCCUUUCCUUCCGUGUGUUUGUUAGGGUGUUUGCUUUGGCAGAAGCUUUAAGGUAGAAAGUGGGGUAAUCCUGAGGAACAGAAUUUUCAUCUAAAGGGGCAAAAAUCAGAUUAUGCAAGAAAGGAAAAAACCAUGGCUCCCAGGGGAGUCGGAGGCUAUGAGAAAUGCAGCCCCGGAGAGGAGCAGUGUGGAUCUGGCCGACGGAGGCCUGCUCUCUGCCAGGGCACCUGCAGGCCACACAAAUGGGGCUGGGAUCUUGCAAAGCUUGCAAAGUGACGCCGGAUCCUGGGCCACGGGGCAGGGUCUGGAAGGGGUCUGGAGGGACACAUUUCCCUGAUUCAGGUCUAGAGAACAACAAAUCCACAUGCAUUGCUGUCCAGAAGAAAUCAGGAGAUGAGUCUGGGUCAACGGGGCCUGGUUAUACUUAGCCAGGGGUCUGCAGGAGCCAGAGUGCUGCAAGUCCUCCGGGAAGCUCCUGCCGGGGACGUGGUCAGCUCUUUAGAAAGCAAGCUUUCCUCUGAGCAAGGGAAGGAAAACUGCUCACUGUUGGAAUGGGUCACCAGAGGGUGCCACGGGAGGGCGGAAGUCAGCAGGUCUGCAUGCCAGUCCUGGCCGUGCCCUUGACUGGGUAUGUGACUGUGGACAGACAGUUGGCCUCUCAAAGCCUUAGUUUCUUCAUCUGCAAAUUGGGGGCACUGGAUGGGAAUAUCUCUGAGGUCCCUUCCACAUGGUUAAACUGUCCCUGUUAGUAUUGGGCAACAGUGUUCUGCCAAGACACCACCAGCAAGAUGCUUCUGGACCAGCGGCUCAUGGCUGUCACUCAAACCACUUGGAAACUGCCCAGUUCAACAGAAAGCAGUGGAAGACUGGUGGGGCAGGGAGAGCGCUGACCCCAGUGAGCGGUUUUAACAACCAUUGGCGUAGAGUUGAUUCAACAGUAUUUGGCUCUUUGUAGAAACUGGGUUGGUUUUCUGUGGAGUAUUAACUGCAUUUCUCAAAACCAUAGCCUGUGGCCGAUUAGCCAGCAAACCCUGCAUAGGGUGAAGUCAGGCAAUGAGGACGUGAGCAGACCAGUAAGGGCAGAGCAGGUCACCCAUGCCGUGUAAUUUUAGGAACUUCUCAUUUAUAGGAGAGAAACAUUGCCAAAGUGUGGCCCACGUCAUCAUGGGGAGAAGCGUUAGCUUGAACUGCCACACAUGCCUGGGGCUGGAUAGAAAUAAGGCAGCAGGCUUGAAGGAAAGCAGGCAGUGGCGUAACAGUAAAUGUAGGAUUUUUCUUUGUCCUGCUAGCUAGGGCUUCUGUGUUGACAGCUGGGGGGAGGAUGGGGUGGGGCAGGAGCCAGGACCAUGGGACGCCCAGUAAAGAAGGAUCCCCCGGGCAGGGGAGUUCUCUACCUUCGGUGCUGGGGUUGGGUGGGGGAGCCCAUGGCAUGGGAGGCAGAAAUGCACUGGCUGACAGUAUAGUUCAUUUGUUUGAUGUUUGCUACUAGGAACCAAGCAUCACGCUGGACUGAAAAGGUUUUUGGCCUGGACAGGAGUUCCCCCACUGGGAACCACACACAUCAUCCGUGUCUCUCCUUCCAGGUCGGUCUGGUCAAUGGCACCAUCACCCACCCACCCUAGACCAGACUAGACACCUCAGGGUCAUUAUUGACUCCUUCCUCUCCGCUCAAUGACAGCCAGUUCUCCUCUGCUCUCAAACCUGUCUCCAUCUCCCCACCGUCAGCUCCCAGCUCCUGCUCUACCUGCAGGCUGGCAGGCUGUGCCCCAAGGCACUCCCUGCUGAGCAAUCCCCACAGGCUCCAACAGCCAGAGCCCCAAGCCCAGACUCUUUUGCAUGGCCUCAGGGCUCUUACGUGUCUGGCCUUAACCUAUUUUUGGCUUUAUCUUCUGCUACUUUCCUUCCUCCGUACCUGGGCUUUAAUCACCAUGAACAAAGUAGUUGCUUUUCUUGUAAACAUUGUAGAUACCCAUUAACUAUGGCAGCAAUAGUAGAGUGGUAAAGAGGGUGAACUCUGGGGUGAAGUACCGGUGUCCGAGUCCAAGCCCCUCUGUUUACGGCUGUGUGGAUUUGGAUAGGUUACCAAACUCUGGGCCUCUGAGAGGCUCUCUCCUGUCCCUUCCCAACCUGCUCACAUUGUUCUCUUUGCCGUUCCUUUUCCACUGAAUUCCUACUCACCCAUGAAGCCCCAUCUCCAGUGCGGCACCUGCUCUGACUCUGCUGGGCAGGUGAGCUUGUCCCUCUCGUGCACACCUGUGGCACUGCUCCCCUCACAGCAGCCCUCGGCCCGGGGGUGGGAGACUCCCCCGACUCCCCUCAGAACCCCGGGCCCAGCAAACCACCUGGCACCUGGCAGCCGCCCACAUGAGCAUGGGACUCCACGAACGGGGCUUUGUAGGGGGCUUUGGAAAUAGCGGCAUCUGCUCCCCUCACCCGUCUGUCUGCUGAGCUCCUGAGGCAACAACGAGUAUCCCCCUUCCCUGUUUUAUGGCCGUUUUUAUUUUUGGAGGGGCAGUCUGCAAAGUGCCAGCAGUCCCCGAGGGCAAUGGACUUUCCUCCAGGUCAUUAGGAAGAAGCCCCUGGAAAGGAUCUUCAUGCCAGACCAAUGCUUGGCUAUUCUCGUUCUUUCUUUCAACCCACACCCACUGUGCACUUGCUAUGAGGACGCCAGGCUCUCAGGCCAUAGUGGGGUCCACACCUGUCACUUCACCUGCCCUCAUGUCGCAGGCCAGUGACUAGAUGGGAAGGCCCAGCAAUCACCAGGGUGAUUUCCAUUAGAAAGAGAGGAGAAUGGGUCUAAUUUCAGGGAGGGGGGCUGGCAAACACAGCCUGGGGGCUCAGGAGAGGACUGGGAGGCCAUGUCUGAGCAAGGCUCGGUUGCUUGUAAAGAAUGGUACCCCGUUCCCACAUCAGAAGAGUCAGCUGAACCCCGGGCUGCAGUCCCAAUAGUGCACUGCUGAGCCUGGCGCUCACCUGCAGGGUAGAUGGCACCUCAGUGCCACACCUGAGCCUCUGAGCUCUCCAGGAGGGCAUAGGCAGGCAUGUAUCAGGCACCACUGCUCACCCUGCUCGUGAGUGACGUUUUUCUGAGCACCAGGCAAGCACUUCUCCCCGGCUCUGUCCAUGCUGCCAUUGCCUUGGUUUGACUGAAUCUUCAAGGACAGGCUUGUCAUGCUAAGGGCCAUUUUCCACUUUGAGGCAUUCUUUUCUUGGUUCUCUGGUUUUAAAGAGCACUUGAUAAAAUAAAUCAGAGCACUGCUUCCCCCUCUGUCUUCCCCAUCCCAUCUACCCUUAUAACAAGAGCAGAAUCUCAUGGGGCAUACCGAGGGGUGGAGCUGGAAAGGAACAUAAAAUCACCUUCCAAACCCAGCUCAGUAUCCAAGGGAAACCUUCCUUGGAGCUGUCUCUCCCCACUCCUCAGCAAACCAUUCUGUCCUCUGUACCAGCUCCAUGUCUUGCCCAUGUUUUUGUAAUUAUACUCAUCACUGCCUAUUUGUUUUAUUUGCUACCUUGUGUGUCCUCUUUUAGCCUCUUGAUAAAACCUUAUUCAUCUUGGUGUCUCCAAUGGAGUCCUACAUGUGGGAGGGAAGAAAGAAGGAAGAAAGGAAGGGAGGGAGGAAGGAAGGGAGGAGGGAAUCGAGUUCAACCCCUUUUAUAUUCUGGAGGGAGAAACUAAGGCCCAGAGAAAAGUGACUUUUCCACAGUCACACAACUAGCCAGGGGAAGCAUGGAGCUAGAACUCAAGAAUCCUAAUGCUCAGUUUAGUGUCCAUUUUACCAAUUGGGCUGCUGACCCACACGAAGCUGCUUGGCCCAGGAAGCAAGUUGUGCGGUGCCUGGGCUACAGUAGAUCUAGAGUCCCUGAGCUGCAGAUGGGCAGCUAGGAGGGGUGACCACAGCUUCAUCCUGACUUGUCUCACUCACCAUGGCCCCGAGCAGACCAAAUGCACAUCCCUCUUGAUAUGGUUUGGCUGUGUCCCCACCCAAAUCUCAUCUUGAAUUGUAGUUCCCAUAAUCCCCACAUGUCGUGGGUGGGACCUGGUGGGAGGUAAUUGAAUCAUGGGGGCGGGUCCCCCAUGCUGUUCUCAUGAGUGAGUUCUCAUGAGAUCUGAUGGUUUUGUAAGGGGCUUUCCCCCCUUUGCUUGGCACUUCUCUCUCUCCUGCCACCUUGUUUGCUUCCCCUUCCACCAUGAUUGUAAGUUUCCUGAGGCCUCACCAGCCAUGCUGAACCAUGAGUCAGUUAAACCUCUCUCCUUUAUAAAUAACCCAGUCUUGUGUAUUUCUUCAUAGCAGCAUGAGAAUGGACUAAUACACCCCUCAGCCAUGGCCCUGUCCCCCAGCAGAUCCUGACAGCCAAGAGGGGUAGAGGUGCCCCGAAAGCCGUGGGGAGUCCCAUGCCAUUCAGCAUCUCAAGAAGCGGUGCAGCAGAGAAACCAGCUACGAGGUCCCUCACCUGUUUUUCCUCAAAUGGCAAGCCCAGGAAGGGGGCAGAGGCCACGUUCAGUGGGGUGAUGCUGUCCGAGGUGAAGGGCUUUCUAGCUCUGGCAAAGAGGGUGUUUAUUAAGGAGAAUCGACUCACAGGAUCACAAGGUAAAGUCCCACAAUAGGUCGUCUGCAAGUUGAGGAGCAAGGAAGCCAGUGGUGGAUCAGUCCGAGUCCCGAAACCUCAAAAGUAGGGAAGCCGACAUUGCAGACUUCAGGCUGUGUCCAAAGGCCCAAAAGCCCCUGGCAAACUACUGGUGUAAGUCCAAGUGUCCAAAAGCUGAAGAACUUGGAGUCUCAUGUUCGAGGGCAGGAAGCAUCCAGCAUGGAAGAAAGAUGAAGGCCAGAAGACUCAGCAAGUCAAGUCCUUCCAUGUUCUUCUGCCUGUUUUAUUCUAGCCAUGUUGGCUGCUGAUUAGACGGUGCCCACCCACAUUGAGGGUGGGUCUGCCUGCCCCAGUCCACUGACUCAAAUGUUAAUCUCCUUUGGCAACACCCUCACAGACGCACCCAGGAAAAAUACUUCACAUCCUUCAAUCCAAUCAAGUUGACACUCAGUGUUAACCAUCACAGCAUCAUAUACCGUAAGGGUAAGUUUAGUUUUCUGAAUGUUUCGUGUGAGCAUUUCUUAUGCUUCCAUGCAUAUCAUGAGUCACCAUCAGAAAAGUCUCAAAGUCAGCACUAUGGACAGAGAAAGUCAUUAAAGAGACCAGGCAUGCCCAUCAGUCUAAUCAUAAUAGUUAUGCAUAAUAGCUAAGCACUGAGUAUGUGGCACAAAUUGUGCUAUUUUUCUAAAUAGUAACCUCUAAUUCUUACAGGUAUUGGUAUUCUCAUGUAGCAUAUGAAAAAACUGAGGCUCAGUGAGAUUAAGUGAUUUGCCUAAUGUCUUAGUUCAAGCUGCUGUAACAAAAUGCCACAGUCUGGGUGGCUUAAACACCAGAAAUUAAUUGUCUCACAGUUCUGCAGGCUGGGAAGUCCAAGAUCAAGGUGAUCUGUUCUGGGUGGGGCUCUCUUCCUGGCUGGCCAAUGGCCGCCUUCUUGCGGUGUUCUCACCUGGUGCUUGUCUAUGGAGAAAAAGAGAGCUCUCCCUCUCUUCCUGUUCUUAGAAGACCAUCAAUCCUAGCAGAACAGAGCCAUGCCCCUAUGGACUCAUUUAGCCUUACUUACCUCCCUGUCUCCAAAUACAGGCACAUUGCUGGUUAGGGCUUCAACAUAUAACUUUUGGGGGACACAAUUCAAUCUGUAGCACCCAAUGUCCCAGGGCAAAUAAAUAAUGGAGUCUGAAUUUGAAUCCAAACUUGAGUCUGAGCCUUCCCAGCAUGCUGUGCUGCCUCGUUAAUUCAUGAAUGCCCCGAGGACACUAGGAAAGUGUGCAAUUUAGAGCUGGGGCUGCAAAGCGUGGUGACCAAGCACACAGGCCUGGGGCCAGGCAGCACUGGGCUACAGCUCCGGGACAAGGCACAGUGCUUCCCAUUCCUAAAGCAGGGCUCUAAGAGAGCCAUUCACAGCUUCAGGCAGGGCUGGGAGGAUUAAUGGGAUGAUGCACCUGCAAGGACAAGCACAGAGGCCCACCAUAGUGAGUUCCAGGAACGCUGGGAACUUUGUUUACUGAUAGACCCUAUGGGCCUAGACCCAUGCCUGGCACUUACUAGGUGCUUCAUACAAAUUGUGGACUGAGUUUUUAAUUGUCAUUUUCAUCACUGACCUGGUAUUAGAAUACCUGGGUGCCAGUGUUAGCUUUAGCAACACUAUCAGACCUUGGGUGAGAUUCAGAACCGGGUGGCCUGUUCCCUGUCUGUAAAGUGAGGAUAAUAAUGACAGUGACCAUCCAACAGCUCCUGUCAAAUGCUGGGCUCAGAACUGCAUUGGGGCCAACCCAGGUUUCCCCUCUCUGUGCUGGGUUUCGAUAAAGAGUGCAGGGUGAUAGACUAGAGAGGACCUCGUUCUGGGGGAGAAAGGAAGCUUGUGUUUCCCCUGUGCUGUGCCUCAUACCUCGGCAGGCUCAGGCAGGAGGACCGCGAUUGGACGCUGGGGGUGUCUGUGUGGGAGGGAACCUUCUCUUGUUGGAAGGGAUCCUCACUGGCCAACGCCCCCUCCUGGGGAAUUCUGGUGAGUUCCUAGGGACUUGGUGCUCUGUCCCUAGGGACUGGGCCUGCAGGCUGCCCAGUGUCUACCCCGGAGGAGAUUGCAGCAGGUCUUGGGGACCGGACGCCAGGAACCCCUGUGUUGGAGACUGAGGUCUGAACCUUCAAAAUCCAACCAUCCCCCACCAGGGAAAGAAGUCUGAGCUGAGCUGGUCCCUGGGAAGCUGGUCCACGGCCAGCCAGGCCCUCGGCAGGGGUAUUUUUAACUGGAAGCAGGGAGCGCUGCAUGAAGGAAGCUCCCCUUGCUGGCAACUGCACCAGUAACACACUUGCUGCGCAGCUGUGUGCACUGCCACCCACAGGCCCUUCUCCUUCCCUCCCCAAAAGGAUGCACACACCCAACAGGCCCUGGGUCCUCCCCAACCGUGGUCACCAUGUCUGCUGCCCACUCCCACCUACGGGACCUUGGCACAGGCAGGAGCGCAGGGUCCGAGGCCUUCCACAAAUAUUUGGGCAGAGCACCUCAAGACAGCCCUAGGGACUAAAGAGCCGAUGACCCUCUGGCCCCAUCUGCUACUGCCCAGCCCUCUCCUGGUGCCCGGCCGGUGGUGUCUACACGGAGUCCACCUCCUCUACCCUCCCGUCUCUGCACUUUCCUGAAAGUGCUUUCCCCACAGCUGCCCCUCUGUUGCUAAGCCCAGUGGCCUCUCACCGCUGACCUUCUCAGGCCCCUGGCUUCCCUCCCACCUCGCUGACUGUUCCGCCUCAGGCUCCCCUGAUCAAACUGUAAGCACUGAUCAGCUUGUCUGGGGCUCUCUUGGUUUUAGACUAAAAGUCUCACAUCCUGGGAACUCCCUCAGUUCAGGGCAAACUGGGACUGUGGGUCACCCCAGACUCACCCUGACCUUGGGGACACCCCAGAUCACCCUGACCUUGGGGACACCCUAGACUCACCCUGACCUGUGGGGACGCCCAUGUCUCCUUCUUGCCUCUCGUUUCCUCUUGAUCUCCAUGCUCUCCCUAAGGGAUCUCCUGUAUUUCUGUGGCUGCAGCUGCCAUUGGGGUGGGGAUGAUCCCCAAGUCUGGGGUGCCAGCCUAACUUUCUCCUGAGAUCCAGACCUGUAAGCUAACUGCCUACAGGGCAUCUCUGCUCAGAGGUCUCCUGGCACCUCGAAAAGUCACCAUGUCUACAUCUGACCUCACCAUCUGACCCCAAACUUCUCUCUCCAGUCUCUGGUUUCAAUGAAGAGCUCUACCAUCCAUCAGGAGAUUCAUAUCCCAGGCACCUCUUCCAGCCAAAGGAAUCUCUUCUUGUCAAUUUCACCUCCUAAGUCCCUUGACUCCAAGUAUUUCUGUCCCCGCUGUCAUCCCCACAGUGCAGGUCAUGACCAUCUCUCACUUUGAUCGGUGCGAAGUCUAGAGGAAGUGUCAACAGUGGCCAUUCCUGGGAUGGCCAGUGGUAUGGGUUGGACUGUGUCCCCCCAAAUAUAUGUUGAAAUCCUAACCACCGGAACUGUGAACAUGGCCUUAUUUGGAAAUAAGAUCUUUGCAGAUGUAGUCAAGUUACAAUGAGGUCAGAAGGGUGGGCCCUAAUCCAACAUGACUGGCGUCCUUGGAAGAGGAAGACGUCACGCGAAGACAGAGACACACAGGAGAGCAGCAUGUGACAGCAGAGGCCUUAGAGAUUGGAGGGAGGCAGCUGCAAGUCAAGGAGUGCUGAGAAUUGCCAGCCACUCUCAGAAGCUGGAAGAGGUGAUAAAGGGUCCCUCCCCUAGAAGCUCCAGAGGAAGCACAGCCCUGCUGAUGCCCUGAUUUUGGACUUGUAGCCUCCAGAACUGUGAGAGAGUGAAUUUCUGUUGCUUAAAGCUAUCCAGUCUAUGGCACUUUGCUACAGCAGCCCUGGGAAGCUAACAUAGGGAGAUAAGGACAAUUUUCAUUUUCUUAGCAUACUUUUCAGUAUUUUAGAGGUGAUCUGUAGUGGAUACACAAGACUUUUAUGAUUAGGAAAAACAUAGUCAUUCUUAAAAAGAAGUGCUCAUCAGUAGGAAUCCUAAGCGUCCUAUUGGAUUUGUCCCUGAGAAUUGAAGCCAUCUAUGCCACACAGUUUACUGUCCUCAUCAACACAGCUUUUUUAUUCCACAGGAGACUCUUGCCCAGGAAGAUAAAAGCUGAACAUAAUUUUAUUGUUCAUUUCGGGGACUUUGCAAAUAACAUUUACACAAACAGCAGAUUGUACAACUUUUUAAUAGCAUCUAAUGACUGUCUUUUCACCAAGACUCUUCAAAAACUCUUGCCUUGCCAUGUCUUCCCAUCCCAAACUCCUAGGUCAUGGCUCUUCCCAAUCUUAAUCAAGUCCCUGCAGGAAAGAUGCUCAAAACUCAGACAUAUCCCAUUUGCAUUUGGUUUUCUGAGAUGAUUCUAAGACUCUGUAAAGGGUCUUCUCCCUUACCAUGGUAGCAGGAAACCUGGCUGCCUUAUCUGAGGGUUGAUUUGGUGGUAUUUUCAGGCAUUUGACAUCUGAUAUUCAAAAUAUUGCAUUUAUGGAAUGCAACCCCAAUCAUCCCUGAAUUGUAGCCAGGGAAACAGGCUCCUCGAACUUCAGUUGCUCAAGGCCACACCAUUAGUAGCUGGCAGAGCCUAGGUCCAGCUGCCUGCAAAGCCUGCACUCUUACCCUUCUCCUACUUUCCCAAAUUUAGUGAGACUGUAAUACAAAAUACUUAUAUUCUGGUGUCUGGCUAUUUUUGGGUGGUAUUCGGCUCCCAAUUGUCCAGAUAAUGGCCCCAAGCGGACAGGCUAUGGUCCUCAGGAAGACAUCACCCAGGCAGGUUUCCUGCGGGGAGUCACCAUAGAGACCAUUUCCAUCACAGGCAGCAGCAGCCUGAGCUUCCGGGACUUCUGUUUCCCUGCCCUGGGCCUGGAGAAUGUUAACCAUGAAAGGCAAAUGGGCUUCGGUUGGAAACAAGCCAUUAUUAGCCACUAUUUCAGGCAGUCACAUUUCCCACAAGGCACUUGUGCAACAAGUUAGCAGGGAAGAAAGAAGCCGAGCCUUUGUACGGCGGGGCCAGAACACAAAGCUCAUUGUGAUGUUUGUGCUUCUAUUCAGACGCCACGUGGUACGGACUCCACGCCAACCUGCAGACUGGAUUCUUUUCUUCCCCCUCAGUAACAAACAUACACAUUUGCUUUAAAGUAGGCAGAAUUUGCCCAUGGGUGGUCUUUGAUUUGGAAGAAAUCAACUUCAAAGUGGUGACUCACAAAAAACAAAGGUGGCUUGACUCAUUCAGUGCUCGGGAAAGGGGAUGUGUGUGCAGAAUUCACUCAUCCAGAAGCAGAAGUUGAAGACAAGGAGUAAAUACUUCAGGUAGACAAUCAGCCAGUCAUCCUGCUUGGUCUUGUAAUGGGCCAUGGCUGCUGAGUCUAGAGAAGGCACACAGGCUGGGCUGGGGAAUUACCGAGAGCCACCUCACCCCUCCAGGAGCCAGGGCGCCUCAGCCAGGUUCCCUUUGAAGGGCUUAUUUGCCUGUCUUGCCAGGGAUCUUUGAGGCUGUGGGUGUGCAGCAUAGAGUAAAGAUCAGGGAAUCGCAAAGGCUACUGGAUGCCUUAGUGGAGGUGAAUUUGGGCAGAAUUUUCCAGACCUUCAGGUGCCGGUUUUGUUCUCUUGACAAAGGUCUAACCCACAAAUCUUCCACAGAUUUCCCUGGCCUUGUUGUGUUCUUAUUCUCUUUCCCUGUCUCAUCAGGGUUGCAGGACACAAGUUUAUCUGUCAUAGACACACACUCUUUCUCUCUCUCUCUCUCUCUCUCUCACACACACACACACGUUCAGCAUGGCUGCUUUGCAGUGGAAACCUGUACUGCACAUCCACAGGUGUGGCAGGAGUCCCAUAUCAGAGCAUCUGUGCCGGAAAGACCUCAAUGAUGACCCAUUCUACCUUACCUGGCCUCUACACCCCUUGACUUCCCAGAUGAGGAAGCAGGUCCAGACAGGCCCAGACUGUUUGGCAGAAGAAGUCUAAGAGCCUCUGGAGUCUUAACUCCUUGGGUUCAAACCCUGAUCUGUCACAAGGUGUGUGACACUUUGGGCAAGUGACAUGACUUCCCAUCUCUCAGUGUUCUCAUCUGUAAAUGGGGAUAAUGAUACCUACAUCACAGGGUUGUUUUGAAGAUUGAAUGGGAUAAUCUAUGUGACGUGUUUAGCAUAGUCCUUGGCACAUAGUAAGUAUUUAAUGUUAGCUUUUAUUAUUACAUGCCAUAGAGCUGGUACUAGAACCUACGACCCCAAUCCUAAAACUCCACUCUUUGCCCCAGCACCAUGCUCUGUCUCUUGUCCGGACACCCGUCAAUGGACUUUCUAGGGAAAGUCAACAUUGGUGAUAAAGGCAGAGAAGGCCCACUGUACUCAGUAAUCGCAUUUGCUUCUUAGUCAGUCUGAACCUCAGUAAGUCUGAAGCCUCUAUGGUUUCCUCUUCACCUGGACCUACUUGUACCCCUGGGCACCUGCACACUCACAGAGUAGUUGCUCUUUAAGAAAUUGUCCCCAUUUUGGGAAGCUCUUUUAUUUCAGAACCAUACGCAAUGAGGCAUUGGUUUUGCCCAUGACCUUCUCUUCCUCUAUCAUUCCCAACCCCCCAUCAGGCCCUCCUCCCCGCUUGCUCUUGCCUCUUUGGCUGGUGCUGGGCCAAAGCCCAAAUUACUUCCCUGAGCCACUGCUCUGCCUUUUAUUUCAAGCUUAUGGGCUCAUGGAGACAGGGAGAGAAGAGGAGAGAAAAGAAAAGGUGGCUGUCUUAUUUGGGAUUUCUAUUUGCAGACCUUGAAGAAGGUAAUUUAAGACUGUUAGUCUUCUCAUUAAAAAAAGACAAAACCCAUUUUUCUUCAAUUUAGUUUGAGAGAUAGGGUGGUGGAAGAGAUAUAGGAGAAAAAAAGGAAGCCUGUCAAGAAUGGCGAUGGAUGGGGGUGGCCAGGCAAUCGAGCAGAAGGUGUUUGGAGGUCAUUCUGCAGUCGGCCCUGACAAGAGACUGGGUGCAGCGUCCUCUGGGUGCCAUGGGUUUUUAGUAAGCUGAGGGAUUUGUGGGGGCCUGGGCGCUACUGUCUGCAGUUUCCCUCCCUCUGCACGUCCCUCCCCUCCCAGCCAGGGCCCACUAGACUCCUAACACAGAACCUUCUCUCGAUCUGCAGCAGAGGGGCACGAUUCACUCACUCAAACCAAGGGGUCAGGGCCCCUGAAAGGAAAAUUGUAUUUUUUAAAAAGGACUUCAGGCAGAAGAUAGGACUUAACAAAGAAAAACGUAAUUCUAAUGGUAAAAUUUUAGCCAUUAUUGGUAGAGAAGAUAGAACCACAGAAUGUCAGGGUUAAGGGGAAACCUUGGGGCUCACUUAAUUCAAUCUUUUGCAGACAGAAUGAGGAAAUUUACCCAUCGGAGCUAAAACGCACAUCUUAAAAUGACUUCUCUAGAAGUCUGUAAUCGAUGGUUGCAGUUUUCUAUCCCCCACUAUUCAAGGCUCCAUCUCCUGUAAUAUCCCACCACACUUGGGUCCCUGUGCUGGGAGUGGCAAAGGCCCCAAAGAAACUUGGAGCCGGAUGCCUGGAUCUCAAAGCUAGCCUUGCCAUUUUACUGGCUGUGUGACCUUGGGCAAGUUACUUAACCUCUCUGUGCAGGUCACAUUUAUGGAACACUUUCGCGUGCCAGAUGCAGACCUAAGUGCUUUACGUGCAUUAUUCUGGUGCCUCUUUCCAAUACCCCUAUGAAGUAGGGCUAGUCCCAUUUUGCAAUAUAACCGAGGUUCACACAGGUUAAAUAACUUGUCCAAAGUCACACAGCAAGUAAAUGGCAAAGCCAGAGUUGAAUGAGGAAUCCCUGGCUCUGGCCUCAAGCUCUUACCCACUGUGCAGUACUCUCAGGACCAGGGAACCCAGGGCAAGGCAGGAAGGGGUGGGGGGCAGAGACUGAUGGUUUCCCUCAUACCCACUGUGCAGUACUCUCAGGACCAGAGAACCCAGGGCAAGGCAGGAAGGGGUGGGGGGCAGAGACUGAUGGUUUCCCUAAUAUUUGUUCUCCCCUUUUUCAUUGGGAAUAGAGCAUCUCCAUUUUAAUUGGGUACUUGGUCACCUGGAGCAAAAGACAUUUCCCAGCCUCUCUUCCGGCUAGGCAUAGCCAGGAUUCCCUGUUUGCCGGAGAGCGGUAUGUAAGCAGAAAUGGUAUAUGCGGCUUUUUAGAAGGAUCGUUUUUUGGUAUCUGUUUCAUGUUCAUUUACAAAGAAUGUACAUCCUGUCAUUGUAGAGUACAGAAUUCUGUAUGUGUCGAUUAGGUCAAAUUUGUUAAUUGCGCUUUUCACAUCUUCUGUAUCCUUACUGAUCUGGUGUCUGAUUGGUCUAUUGGCUAUUGAAAGAUGCCUGUUACAGGCUCUCCCUACAAGUGUGAAUUUGUCUAUACCUUAUUUAAGUCUCUUAAAUUUUGCUUCGUAUGUUUUGCAGAUAUUUUAUGGAGUACAAACAGAUUUGGAGUUAAGAUAUUAUUCUGGCGGAUUAAUCCCUUUAUCGCUAAUAAUGUCAUUAUCUGUCUUUUAACAGUUAGAAGUAUAUAUAUAUAUAUUUUUUCUGAGACAGAGUUUCAUUUCGCUCUUGUUGCCCAGGCUGGAGUGCAAUGGCGCAAUCUUGGCUCACCGCAAUCUCUGCCUCCCAGGUUCAAUCGAUUCUCUUGUCUCAGCUUCCCGAGUAGCUGGGAUUACAGGCAUGCACCAACACACCCGGCUAAUUUUUUGUAUUUUUAGUAGAAACGGGGUUUCUCUAUGUUGGUCAGGCUGGUCUCAAAGUCCUAACCUCAGGUGAUCCACCCGCCUCGGCCUCCCAAAGUGCUGGGAUUACAGGCAUGAGCCACCGCACCCAGCCAGAAGUAUCUUUAGAGUGGUGGGGGCAUGUCUCUCUUCACCCUUUCCUUCUUCCUGUUGGUUGGAAUGCUGAUGUUGUGGCUGGAGCUGAAGCAGCUCUAUUGAACCGUGAGCUGAAAACUAUGGGUUGAAAAGGAGUAACAAUUAGUUCAAAGAUUCUGGGUCUCAGAUGGUUUCAGAGCUGCCGUUCAUCCCUGAGCUGCUUACCUCCAGACUUAGUUUACAUUAGAGAACAACAAACUUGUAGCUUCUUUAAGCUACAUGUUUGUGCCAGGGGCACUGCAGUGGGGGCAAUAAGACCAGAGGCCCAUGGCAGGCAGUGGUCGCCGAGCUCUUCUGACUGUACACCCCCUCAAAUUUCUUAUUUAUAAUUUUUAUUCAUGUACUAUUGUCCAUUUAUAUAGCAGGUAUUCAUCAAAACUUCAUUUUGCAGUUUUGAAAGUUAAAAAAUAAUGAGGGAUAGGGAUUUCAGUAAGUUUUCCCUGUAUCCCAGUAUAUUGUCUGUUGCCACCUUGGAGACCACUGGUGCAGAGUGUGCAUGGAGUGGGUGAGAGCUGAAGGUUAGGUGGGGUCAGGUCAAGAGUGACCUUACAUGUGAAGCUCGGGGACUUGAAUUAAUGUCCUGAAAGUGAUGCUGACCCCAGGAAGGUGGUGCUUAAGUUCGAGAAAGAGAUGGUGGAGGAAUGGAGAUAGGGGACAGACACCUGACUGGCGCAGAGGGAGGCCCCAUCAGGCAGGCAGUGUGCUCCAGGAAGAGGCAGGAGAGGAAAGACCCCAGGAGUGGGCAGAGGAAGAAGCAGCCAGGUGGGAAGUUGAAACAGAGGCGGGGGUAGAAGGAGAACCAGGGGAGUGGGGGUCCAGGUAGCCAAGGAGGACAGGGUGGGCUGCAGUACUGCAUGCUUGCUAAGAGGUCCAAGCAAGGGCUCACCUUUGUCCAUGAAGGAUACAUGGGGAUCAUAGGGAUGCACCAUGAAGGGAGGGGAAACGGAGACCUGGAGGUGAAUAUUUUCAAAUGAGAAGGCUGGGAGGGAAGCAGCUAGAAGGUCAGGGAAAGGAAGUGCUUUUGUGUGAUGAGGGAGGGCGGCUCGGGCAUGCCUAGUGCACUGGGAAAGGCUCCAAAGCCUGCUUAACUCUGCUGCCUCCGGGGAAGGGGACAGGGCUGAAGGAAGGUGAGUGGAAGAGCUCCAGCCACCACUUCCAGCCCUCCUCCUGACUGUCCCAGUGGAUUCCCCUCUCUGGGACCUCAUUGUACCCCAAUUUCCUUUUCCCUGGAGAGUGAUAUAUCAGGGGAGGUAGGUGGGGGAACAUGGCAAUGGCUGCAGCUGCCCCUGGAGAGGAGAAAAGCAAACAUAAGCCACUUGAUGUGAGCUUAUCUGCCAGCGAAUGGAGGGGCCAGGGCUUUGGAUAAUCCCCCAAAUCAUUUUUCAUUGAGCUUUGAGUGUCUUAUGAUUGCUGGGAAGCCGACUGGCCUUCCUAAGUGGGUGUUAUUUCUGUUCAUAGCAGUUGGGAGCUGGGCUUGGGAACCAAUUGAAGGAAGUGUUCCUGAGGGGCACCAGCUAGACAGCAGGGGGCAGGCAAGGCAGAGACUCCCACUACGGGUGUAACCAAUGCUGGAUGCAGAAUCACGGACAAGCCUCUGAAGACAAAGGAGAGGGACCGUACCUCCCAGAUCCCUGGCCUCGCGACGCUGAUCUCUUCCUUGGCCUCUAAAAGGCACAUCUGUGUCCUCCCUUUGGCCCUUUGUUCAGGCUGUGGCCUGAAUCUGAAACCCCUGCUACUCUGUCCCAAUGCUCCAGGGCUCAGGGGGACUCUACCCCUCCCUGAAGGUGGCUAUUUCCACCUUCCCAGACCCCCAGGGCAAAGCCCAGCAUCCACGGACUGCAGCAGUUGGCCUGGGUGCUUCUCAGCAUCUUAUUUAACAGACUGACUGAUUUGGUUACCUUCCCGAGCUUGUGGACUGAGAUGGGGACAGCGGUGCCACACAGUGGGGUCCAGACCCUCUUUCUGGCUCUGCCCUUUACUUGCUGCCUGUGCUUGGCGAGGCAAGCUACUUCCCUCCCUGAGUGUUUGGUUUCCCACCUGCAGGGAAAAGCAGCGGCUCUCCUGCUUAGGUCUUAGAAUUACCUGGGGGACUCGUUAAAGUGAAGAUCUCAGGGCCCACCCCCAGAGUUUCUGAUUCAUUAGGUUUAGUGUGAGACCCUGAAGGAUUUGCUCCCAGGCAGGGUGACUGAUAAUCCCCAUUUGCCCGGGACAGAGGGAUUUCUUGGGAUACAGGAGUGCUGUUCAGGGUUAAACCUGGGCAAUCCUGGGAAACCAGGAUGGCUAGUCACUGCUCCCAGGUGCUGCUGGUCUUGGGACCACACUUUGCAUCAAUGUUCUCUAAGGUCCCUUCCAACUCUGAAAGUCCCUGUGCCUGCAGUAUAAGUACCCUUCACCUCUGAAACAGGCAUAACUGGGUGGGACAUGAGGGUGGGCCCGUCCUCUCAUGCAAAUUCACAUUUAGGACACAGUUCCUGUUGAAAUGAUAAAGAUCUCCCAGAUUGCCCGGCAAUGAGCCUCAAGGUGCCUUCCCCCCAGGAAGAGGUUCUGACUGUAGCACAAAGGUGGGAUUCAGGGGCAGCCAGCAGGUGCGGGGGCGGUGAAUGUCAUUGUCAGGAUCCAUGCCAUAGGACAUCUCAGAAAGGCAACCACAGAUGCCUUGAAGGUGAACUGAUGCAUUUUGGGGACUUUCAUCAGGGCUGGAUGUGUAAUGGCAUGGCUGUGAGACUUGAGGAUCAUUGUCCUCCUACUGCAUCCCCCCGCUCUCCCAAGCAGAUGAGGCUCAAAGCACAGAGAUGCAGGAUGUGUAGGAAGAGCCCAGCUGGCUGGCCAGAUGUGCUGGGAGUCCUGGUGAGCAGGGCAGGCUCCAGCCGGGGCCAGUGCCCAGGAGCACAGGGUACCACAGGUGUUGGCUGGUGGGCAAGACCAAGUCCUUUAAUAGUGAUGGGGAGCAAGGGGUGGGAGCUGGCUGUAUAGAUCAUACAUAAACACAUGGCGUUUUGAGGCCCUGGGUGAGCUGCAUCCUUCACUCCCUCAACAAACAUGUAUUGAGUGCCUGCUAUGUGCUAUGUGCUGGUACUUGGAACAACUGGACUUGCUCCUUCAGGAGGUCACAGCAGUCGUGAGGGUGGGGCACAUGCAUGCAAACAACUUCCAGACACUGGAGAGCACUUUCAGAGAUGCUGGCCCGUCCUGAUGGGAGCGCAGAGGGACAGGCAUUGAUUCUGCCAGACGAGGGUGGUGGGGGUGGAUGGCAAAAGAAAGGGGCAUUUAAUUUGGUCCUUAAAAACAGGCAGGGUUUCUGCGGGCAGAAAAGGAGGGAGGGCUGCCCAGGGAGAGGGGACAGUGUGAGCAAAGGCCUGGCGGCAUGGCUGGGCAGGGUGGGCCGGCGGGGGCAGGAAGGGCUGGGAAGCCAUGUCUGGGCCUGGAACAAACUUGGCCUCACUAAGUUGUGACUUUCCGCUUUCCCCCACAUUCUCUACUCCUGGGAUCUCACCAACCUCUUAUUCUUUGUCUGCUCCCAUUAGCAAAAGCUGAGGUUGGGAGGGACCUGACUCUCCGUUCCCUAAGGGAAGAGCACCCCAUACCAGGGGAGGGCUUUUGGGGCGCCUGAUGUUUCUGAAAACAAACAAGCAAACAAACAAAACUGGCAUAUUUCACUUAACAUAACGUCCUCCAGGUUCAUCCACAUGUCACAGACAACAAGAUUCCCUUCUUUUAUAAGGCUAAAUAGCAUUCCAUUGUAUAUAUAUGCCACAUUUUCUUUACCCGUUCAUCCCCUGAUGGCCGCUUAAGUUGAUUCUGUAUCUUGGCUAUUGUGAACAGUAAUGAAAUGAACAUGGAAUGCAGAUAGCUCUUCAACAUACUAAUUUCAUUUCCUUUGGAUAAAUACACAGUAGCAUCUUAUGUUAAGUGAAAUAAGCCAGGCACAGAAAGACAAAUACCACAUGAUCUCACUCAUACGUGGAAUCUAAAAAGUUGAUCCCAUAGAAAUAGAGUGUAGAAUGGUGGUGGGGGGAAGUGGGGAGGGGAAGAGAUGUUGGUUAAAGGGUAUAAAAUUUCAGUUGGACAGGAGGAAUAAGCUCAAGAGAUCUAUUGCAUGUCGGGACUCUGUAUGGUUAAUAACAUUGUAUUUUUUUUUUUAUACUUUAAGUUCUAGGGUACAUGUGCACAACGUGCAGGUUUGUUACAUACGUAUACAUGUGCCAUGUUGGUGUGCUGCACCCACCAACUAGUCAUCUACAUUAUGUAUAUCUCCUAAUGCUAUCCCUUCCCAUGACAGGCCCCGGUGUGUGAAGCUCCCCACCCUGUGUCCAAGUGUUCUCAUUGUUCA